This 73-nucleotide transfer RNA is filed under the name Nitrospirota bacterium. RNAcentral's name for it is "Nitrospirae bacterium (groundwater metagenome) tRNA-Gly". It matches the Rfam family "tRNA". Rfam says of the family: Transfer RNA (tRNA) molecules are approximately 80 nucleotides in length. Their secondary structure includes four short double-helical elements and three loops (D, anti-codon, and T loops). The record is from RNAcentral. Lineage: Bacteria; Pseudomonadati; Nitrospirota.
GCGGGCGUAACUCAGCUGGUAGAGUGGGAGCUUCCCAAGCUCCAGGUCGCGGGUUCAAGUCCCGUCGCCCGCU